UUGACCUCAAAUCAGGUAGGACUACCCGCUGAACUUAAGCAUAUCAAUAAGCGGAGGAAAAGAAACUAACAAGGAUUCCCCUAGUAACUGCGAGUGAAGCGGGAAAAGCUCAAAUUUGAAAUCUGGCAGUCUU
This 133-nucleotide ribosomal RNA is filed under the name Amanita sp. 'cattaraugana'. RNAcentral's name for it is "partial 28S ribosomal RNA". It matches the Rfam family "Eukaryotic large subunit ribosomal RNA", at positions 1 to 132 of the family's 3401-position model. The record is from RNAcentral. Lineage: Eukaryota; Fungi; Basidiomycota; Agaricomycetes; Agaricales; Amanitaceae.